Molecule: long non-coding RNA, 201 nt
Filed under: Olea europaea (common olive)
Lineage: Eukaryota; Viridiplantae; Streptophyta; Magnoliopsida; Lamiales; Oleaceae
Description: long non-coding RNA (OEUR_LNC014981)
Source: RNAcentral
UGUUUAACAAAUUGGUGCAAGACAUAGUUAAUUGUGAUGAGACUGUGUCCGAAACUUAUAAGGCUAUAAUUUUGCUAAAUGCAAUCCUUGAUUCCUAUAAGGAAGUUAAGAAUGCCAUUAAGUAUGGCAGAGACACGUUAACACCUGAAAUUGUCAUAUAUUCCCUUAGAAGUAAAGAAAUGGAAAUUAAGGCUGAAAAAC